RNAcentral lists this ribosomal RNA (464 nucleotides) under uncultured bacterium. RNAcentral describes it as "partial 16S ribosomal RNA". It matches the Rfam family "Bacterial small subunit ribosomal RNA", at positions 28 to 507 of the family's 1533-position model. The record is from RNAcentral.
GACGAACGCUGGCGGCGUGCUUAACACAUGCAAGUCGAACGGUAAGGCCCUUUCGGUGGUUCACGAGUGGCGAACGGGUGCGUAACACGUGGGUGAUCUGCCCUUCACUUUGGGAUAAGCCUGGGUAACUGGGUCUAAUACCGGUUAGGACUACUCGAUGCAUGUCGUGUGGUGGAAAGUUUUUGCGGUGUGGGCUGGGCCCGCGGCCUAUCUGCUUGUUGGUGGGGUGAUGGCCUACCAAGGCGACGUCGGGUAGCCGGCCUGAGAGGGUGUCCGGCCACACUGGGACUGAGAGACGGCCCAGACUCCAACGGGAGGCAGCAGGGGGGAAGAUUGCACAAUGGGCGCAAGCCUGAUGCAGCGACGCCGCGUGGGGGAUGACGGCCUUCGGGUUGUAAACCACUUUCAGCACAGACGAAGCGUAAGUGACGGUAUGUGCAGAAGAAGCACCGGCCAACUACGUG